Cyprinodon variegatus (sheepshead minnow) is the source of this 467-nucleotide long non-coding RNA. RefSeq lists it as uncharacterized. The record is from RefSeq and is a predicted model, not a curated record. The transcript is spliced from 3 exons. NCBI's taxonomy places the organism in Eukaryota, Metazoa, Chordata, Actinopteri, Cyprinodontiformes, Cyprinodontidae.
AGCUGAGAAGAGCAAUGGGUGACCUCAGAUGGAUGAAAGUUUGUUUAUUUGUGAUGCUAGAGCUUCAUUCUACAGUGUUUGCAGAUGAAGUAGCUGCUUGGAUAAGAUCUGGAGAUACCAUGGUUUUGUCCUGCCAAUGUUUGAUUAGUGGUCAAACAAACUGUAAUGGCACCACAUGGGUCUUCAGUUCAAGGAACUCCUUAGUAGAGCUGGUUAAACUCGGAAAGAUUGACCCAAAUCUGCAAAAUAAAUCAAACAGACUGAGUUUAGAAAGCUGUUCUCUGGUAAUAAGGAAUGUCAGAGUGGAGGAUGCUGGUCAUUAUCAUUGCCAACAAUACAAAUCUGGAAGCAAACCAGAUUAUCACAUCCUGGUUCAUCAGUGUGGAGUUGAUCUGUCUGUCGUCCACGUUGAAAUAAUAGCUGAAACCACAUGCAGCCCAACCAGAGAAAUUGAAGAAAGAACAGAA